RNAcentral lists this ribosomal RNA (1189 nucleotides) under uncultured bacterium. Its description in RNAcentral is "bacterial SSU rRNA". It matches the Rfam family "Bacterial small subunit ribosomal RNA", at positions 251 to 1436 of the family's 1533-position model. The record is from RNAcentral.
GGCGGGUAACGGCCCACCAAGGCGACGAUGCGUAGGGGUUCUGAGAGGAAGGUCCCCCACAUUGGUACUGAGACACGGACCAAACUCCUACGGGAGGCAGCAGUGAGGAAUAUUGGUCAAUGGACGAGAGUCUGAACCAGCCAAGUCGCGUGAGGGAGGAAGGUCCUAUGGAUUGUAAACCUCUUUUGCCGGGGAGUAACAAGCGGGACGUGUCCCGCCCUGAGAGUACCCGGAGAAAAAGCAUCGGCUAACUCCGUGCCAGCAGCCGCGGUAAUACGGAGGAUGCAAGCGUUAUCCGGAUUUAUUGGGUUUAAAGGGUGCGCAGGCGGCGAGUCAAGUCAGCGGUCAAAGUGCGGAGCUCAACUCCGUAUCGCCGUUGAAACUGGUUUGCUAGAGUGCGUGCGAGGAAGGCGGAAUGCGUGGUGUAGCGGUGAAAUGCAUAGAUAUCACGCAGAACUCCGAUUGCGAAGGCAGCUUUCCAGCACGCUACUGACGCUCAUGCACGAAAGCGUGGGGAUCGAACAGGAUUAGAUACCCUGGUAGUCCACGCGGUAAUACGAUGAUUACUUAGAUAUUCGGGCCGAUUGGGGCCUGUGUGUCACAGCGAAAGCGUUAAGUAAUCCACCUGGGGAGUACGCCGGCAACGGUGAAACUCAAAGGAAUUGACGGGGGCCCGCACAAGCGGAGGAACAUGUGGUUUAAUUCGAUGAUACGCGAGGAACCUUACCCGGGCUCAAACGCCAAGAGACGUAACCUGAAAGGGUUAUUUCCGCAAGGACUGUUGGCGAGGUGCUGCAUGGUUGUCGUCAGCUCGUGCCGUGAGGUGUCGGCUUAAGUGCCAUAACGAGCGCAACCCCCAUUUUCAGUUGCCAUCGGGUCAUGCCGGGCACUCUGGAGAGACUGCCGGCGCAAGCUGUGAGGAAGGCGGGGAUGACGUCAAAUCAGCACGGCCCUUACGUCCGGGGCGACACACGUGUUACAAUGGCGGGGCACAGAAGGAAGCCAGGCGGCGACGCCGAGCCGAUCCCAAAAACCCGUCUCAGUUCGGAUCGGAGUCUGCAACUCGACUCCGUGAAGCUGGAUUCGCUAGUAAUCGCGCAUCAGCCAUGGCGCGGUGAAUACGUUCCCGGGCCUUGUACACACCGCCCGUCAAGCCAUGGAAGCUUGGAGUACCUAAAGUCCGUGACCG